AACGAACGCUGGCGGCAUGCCUAACACAUGCAAGUCGAACGAGACCUUCGGGUCUAUUGGCGCACGGGUGCGUAAGGCGGGGGAACCUGCCCUUAGGUUCGGAAUAACUCCCCGAGAGGGGUGCUAAGACCGGAUAAUGUCUUCGGACCAAAGAGUUAUCGCUCUGGGAUGGGCCCGGGUUGGCUUAGCUGGUUGGUAGGGGAAAAGCCUACCAAGGCGACGAUCCAUAGCUGGUCGGGGAGGAUGAUCAGCCACACUGGGACUGAGACCCGGCCCAGACUCCUACGCGAGGCAGCAGUAGGGAGUACUAGACGCGGGACGCUGGCCUGAUACAGCAGUGCCGGGUGAGUGAUGAAGGGCUUAGGGUUGUAAUGCUCUUUUACCCGGGGUGAUAAUGACAGUACCGGGAGAAUAAGCACCGGCUAACUCCGUG
RNAcentral lists this ribosomal RNA (433 nucleotides) under uncultured bacterium. RNAcentral's name for it is "partial 16S ribosomal RNA". It matches the Rfam family "Bacterial small subunit ribosomal RNA", at positions 29 to 507 of the family's 1533-position model. The record is from RNAcentral.